UGGGGGAAAAUUAAUAUAAAAAAAUAAAUAAUAAAAAUAAUUAUAAAAAAUAAUUAAUGGGGGUUAAAGUAUUUUUUAGAAAAAAUUUAUUAAUUUAUAGUUUAAUAGUAUUGUGAAAGAAUUUUGAAAUAAAGUUAAAUAUCAAUUAUUAUUUAAGUAAAUUUAAUUUAUUGUAUCUUGUGUAUCAGAGUUUAUUAAUAAAUAUUUAUAAAUAAAAAUAUCUCGAAUUUAAAAGAGAUAGUUAAUUAUUAAAGUUAAUGUGACAUAAUUAUUUUAAAUAAUUAAUUUGAAAUGAAAUGUUAAUCGUUUUUAAAAAUAUCUAGUUUUUUUAGAAAAAAAUUUAAUUUUAAAUUAAUUUAAUAAUUUUUUUUAAAUUUUUUAUAUAAAAUUAUAUAUUUAAUUAAAUAUUUUAGGGGAUAAGCUUUAAAUUAAAUUUUUAUAAUAUUUAAUAAAUUAUUUAAAUAUUUUAAAAUUUAUAUUUUUUAUAAAUUAUAAUUUUUUAUAAAUAAUUUUAUUUAUUUUAAAAUUUAAAUUUAUAUUUAAAUUUUUAUAAAAAAAUAAUUUUUAAUAAUAAAAAAUUAGUUAUAAUGAUAAAAUUAGUAUAUAAAAAAAAAAAAUAAAUUAAAAUUAUUUAAAAUUAAUAAAAAGGAAUUCGGCAAAAAU
This 663-nucleotide ribosomal RNA is filed under the name Colias hecla (Greenland butterfly). RNAcentral's name for it is "partial 16S ribosomal RNA". The record is from RNAcentral. Lineage: Eukaryota; Metazoa; Arthropoda; Insecta; Lepidoptera; Pieridae.